RNAcentral lists this ribosomal RNA (460 nucleotides) under uncultured bacterium. RNAcentral describes it as "partial 16S ribosomal RNA". It matches the Rfam family "Bacterial small subunit ribosomal RNA", at positions 338 to 795 of the family's 1533-position model. The record is from RNAcentral.
CCUACGGGGGGCAGCAGUGAGGAAUAUUGGUCAAUGGCCGGAAGGCUGAACUAGCCAUGCCGCGUGAAGGUCAAUGCCCUAUGGGCGUUAAACUUCUUUUGUGCGGGAGCAAUAAUGGUCACGUGUGGCCAGACGAGAGUACCGUACGAAUAAGCAUCGGCUAACUCCGUGCCAGCAGCCGCGGUAAUACGGGGGAUGCAAGCGUUAUCCGGAUUUAUUGGGUUUAAAGGGUGCGUAGGCUGUGAGGUAAGUCAGCGGUGAAAUGCCCCCGCUCAACGGGGUGAAGUGCCAUUGAUACUGCGUGGCUGGAAUGCGGAUGCCGUGGGAGGAAUGUGUGGUGUAGCGGGGAAAUGCAUAGAUAUCACACAGAACACCGAUUGCGAAGGCAUCUCACGAAGCCGCGAUUGACGCUGAUGCACGAAAGCGUGGGUAUCAAACAGGAUUAGAGACCCGAGUAGUC